This 372-nucleotide long non-coding RNA is filed under the name Nicotiana benthamiana. RNAcentral describes it as "long non-coding RNA (NBEN_LNC011365)". The record is from RNAcentral. Lineage: Eukaryota; Viridiplantae; Streptophyta; Magnoliopsida; Solanales; Solanaceae.
CUUUGUACAAUCUAAAAAAGGUACAAAUCUUUCUUUCCCGUUAAUUACUGAUCUGUAACCGAUAUCGAGCGAGAUCCGCACUGUGAUAUCCGGUCAGGUAUGAAUAUCACGACCCUUUAUCCGUCAUGUGUAAUCGUUUACCGUAUUUUUCGAGGUUUUAGAAUUCGUUCAAGGUUCGGGGAGCGUUGCUUUAUCGUUCCUGGUGAUGAACACAUCGUUCUUCUUUCGUGAGUCUCUAUACGAAAGGUUCUCGGCCUCGAUUUCAGUCUCGUGCGUCCAUGCCCUCCUUCCAUUUUCUUUACUGGAAAAUUGAGGUAUGCUCUAUCCCCGAUUUUACCAGUAUUUAUGUUUUCUUGACCCCACGGUCUAUCG